ACUCCCACCGCUUGGAUCGCCACGGCCUGGCCCCGGGCUUCGACCUGCCGGGCCUCGACACUUACCGGGCGCUGAGACUGCAGCGCGAGCCCGUGUUCGAGACCCAGUGACCCCGGGCGACGUCCGGAGCCUCCAGUCUCCUUGGCCUGCGGCUCUCCGACCUGAGGGGGCUGCGAAGACGCUGAGAACCCAGGAGACUGGGAGUUUCUCCUGUGUCUGUGACCAUGGUGAUGACUUGGGGACUCGGAGCGGGAUCUGUGUCAUCAAUCUCGGGGACCUGCCUCUGUGGUGUCUUGGACUGUUGGUCCGAUGCCUUUCUCUGCGGGCCGAAGGACUUCUUUUGGGAGAUGGACUCUGCCUUCUGGGAAACCAACCCCUCCUCCUCCUGUAUCACAGUGUGUUAGAGCGACCAGGCUGGUCUGAGUCUCUGGAGCUUCUCCAGCGAUGAUCGGGUGACUGGACUCUUGCCAGCUUAUCUUCUUCCUCUUCACUGGACUCCACAAUGCCUGCGUCUUCUUUUAGAGCACUGACUUGAGGCUCCAGUUGCUCAGCUUCCUCUAGCACGUAGCGUUUCUGUAGCGGGGGCAGAAUGAUAUCACAUACUCUCUCACUGGGCAGCAGUUUGUCAAUGGAUUCAUCUACACGCAUCAGUUCCAACUCUCCAUUUUGGUGCUGGCUGUUGAUUUCUCAAUAGUCCUUGUAUAAAGGUUCCAAGUACUUGUAACAAUCAGUUGCAGAGCCAGUCAGCCUCAUGUAAAGUGCGCCCAACAGGCGGAUAUACUUGAAAUCUCCAUUUGUUAUAAACCUUACACAUUCGAAACACUGACUUUUUGUGGAAUAUAUAGUUUGUAAAUAUUAUCUAGUCUCUAGCUUCUCUCUUUAUCCUUCUGGGAUCUCUUGCAAAGC
This 906-nucleotide long non-coding RNA is filed under the name Fukomys damarensis (Damara mole-rat). RNAcentral describes it as "lncRNA (ENSFDAG00000028901.1)". Lineage: Eukaryota; Metazoa; Chordata; Mammalia; Rodentia; Bathyergidae. The record is from RNAcentral.